CCUACGGGAGGCAGCAGUGAGGAAUAUUGGUCAAUGGCCGGGAGGCUGAACCAGCCAUGCCGCGUGAAGGUCAGUGCCCUAUGGGCGUUAAACUUCUUUUGUGCGGGAGCAAUAAUGGUCACGUGUGGCCAGACGAGAGUACCGUACGAAUAAGCAUCGGCUAACUCCGUGCCAGCAGCCGCGGUAAUACGGGGGAUGCAAGCGUUAUCCGGAUUUAUUGGGGUUAAAGGGUGAGUAGGCUGGGAGGUAAGUCAGCGGUGAAAUGCCCCCGCUCAACGGGGUGAAGUGCCAUUGAUACUGGCUUGCUGGAAUGCGGAUGCCGUGGGAGGAAUGUGUGGUGUAGCGGUGAAAUGCAUAGAUAUCACACAGAACACCGAUUGCGAAGGCAUCUCACGAAUCCGCGAUUGACGCUGAUGCACGAAAGCGUGGGUAUCAAACAGGAUUAGAUACCCCGGUAGUC
RNAcentral lists this ribosomal RNA (460 nucleotides) under uncultured bacterium. RNAcentral describes it as "partial 16S ribosomal RNA". It matches the Rfam family "Bacterial small subunit ribosomal RNA", at positions 338 to 795 of the family's 1533-position model. The record is from RNAcentral.